RNAcentral lists this long non-coding RNA (330 nucleotides) under Homo sapiens (human). RNAcentral describes it as "non-protein coding lnc-VWC2L-3:2". Lineage: Eukaryota; Metazoa; Chordata; Mammalia; Primates; Hominidae. The record is from RNAcentral.
GUAACAAGAAAGAGAGAACCCUGUGGAGAAGACCAACAAGGAGAAACGAAGAUGCAGGAUAAAGAAGGUAUUCUCUCUGAGAGAGUUGAGGAGCCAAAGCUAAAGUCCAAAUACCUAAGCCUAGGACAAGAGCCCGGAGGCUCCAACUUCCUCAUGAAGAGAUUACAGAAAGGGAAAAGGUACUUUGUCUCAGGAGACUACAACAUGGCCAAAGCCAAGAUGAAGAGUAAGCAGCUUCCAAGUGCAGAACCAAAGAAGAACCUGGUGACUGGUGACCACAUUCUGCCCCACAGAAAGUCCUUGGUUAUCACCAGCAAGCUUGCAGGGUAA